Wasmannia auropunctata (little fire ant) is the source of this 2827-nucleotide long non-coding RNA. RefSeq lists it as uncharacterized. The record is from RefSeq and is a predicted model, not a curated record. NCBI's taxonomy places the organism in Eukaryota, Metazoa, Arthropoda, Insecta, Hymenoptera, Formicidae. The transcript is spliced from 2 exons.
UACCAUCCUUUAUUUUGUUUGUUCUCAAAAAAUGAGAAAUUAUAGGACGACAAAAAAUAAUUAUCGUCUGACUAAGAUAUUUCAAUUUCGUUAAUACCAUUCAAAGAAGAAUCAUUUGUAUCUGUUUGUUCAUACCUCUCUUGAUUUCAUUUUUACCUUCAAAGGGUUCAGAACUAAAGCGCAUUUCAAUUUUCGAAAAUAUCAAGUUCCGAACUCUUUGAAAUAGAAAACGCGGGGUACAAACAAUUCUUUAUCGAAUGAAAUUAACAAAGUUAAUAAGUAUCUUGUAGUAGUCAGGCGUGACCAUUUAAAAAAUAUUUUUUGAAGAGGGCUCUUACAAAACGAUUGCCACCUAUACUUCGCACACACCGCAUUAUACAUAUUCCUGAUUGCACACAUUUCCAACUGCACACAGAACGAUUGCGUAAAAGCAUUAUUGCGCACAUGUCACUUUGCACGACCAUAUUACACGCAUACACACGAACAUACGACCGUGCCUCGCACAUGACCAUAUUGCGCACAUUUCCAUACUGCACACAUGCAUAUUGUAAAACUUUGUUUUGCAAGUUGGAAAGCUGGAAAACCCAUAUGGAAUCAUACAAUUACCUUGUUUCGCAAUGCACGCACCGGGCGAUAUAAGGGUGGAUUUCGCUUAAUCCAUGUGGACUGUACUUUGAGUGGAAAAUUGCAAACCAUAAAACCGUAAUCGUAAAACCGUAUAAUUGUGGAUCUCUUUGAUCUGUAAAGUGCAUGUGUGCAGAAUGUGUGCGACACAGCUAUGUGUGCAGUGCGCUGUGUUCAAUAUAAGUGCAAUUUGCUGUGUGCAAUACGGUCGUGUAUGCAAUGUGCUGUGUACAAUCUGAUCGUGUACAAAAUGAUAUGUGCACAAUAAUGCUUGUAGGCAAUCGCUCUGUGUGCAAUUGGGAAUGUGUGCAAUUGAAAACGUGUGCAAUGCGGUAUAUACCGACAUAUAGACUAUAUCGACAUAUAGACUGUAAUAUAUAUCGUAAUAGGCAACGCUUGCUAUAGAAUAAGAGGGAUUACAUAGGGAGCCUAUGUCAUCUCUUUUGCUAGUAUCCCAUUGGUGAUUUUGUCCCCUUCUAAUUCUGGAGAAGGACAAACUCACCAAUGCUAGCAAAAGAAACAACACAGACCUCUUAUGCAGUCCCUUUCACUCUACAGCAAACGCAUAUUUUUCUACAGAGGACAGUCAGUUCAUCUCCAUGUAUUUAUAUCGAUGAAUGUGUACAAAUAAAAUUGUGGCGGCAAUCGUUUUGGAAUCUCUCCAAUUUUUUUACCUUCUAAGAUACAAAGAAUACAAAGAGUGGCACAAACACAGGUGUUUAUGCACUAUUACUCACAAAAACAUGUGUGCACGAUGUGAGGGUCCGCAGUACAUUGAGCUCAGAUCCACUGGAUUCGCUAAGCCCAAAUGACUGCACGGAUCAGUCAUUCCCGCAUGGGAAUAAUAGAACAGACGCAACGAUCAGAGAUACCUGUACUAGUACGCUUUGAAUGAGAAUGAAGGAUACGCAGAGCCCUCGAACGAGUCGACGUUUCGGCUUUUCAUAGGGCCACAGGCCGAUCGACUCCAUUAGAUGUCGGGUAAAAUAGUAUUCAUUGUUGAAGAAAUCCAUUCCGAUUGGUAGUUGCUGCGAUUUUGUGCACGCAGAUUUGCAAAGAUUACGGCGAUCCUACCAUUCUACCGGUUAUUGGAAUAUUUUAGUAGCUAUUACAAACUUAUUGCAUACGUUUUGCCGCGUCAUGAUGAUGAUAAUACAGGGCAUUACGAGGAAUCUGAUACCCCGGAGGACAAUUUAUAUAAAUUAACUUACUACCAAAACGACCUUUAAAGUAAGAUUGGAUGAGUCAUUCGACUAUCGUGCACCACAGACUAAAAGACUGAUUGCAACGUAAGGCAACUAAAUUACAUGUUUAAUGUAACCACUGGUGAUUUUCCCCGGGGGUGAAACGGUGGCAAUUCCAGCAUUUUUACGCACGCGCGAUGCGACAAAGAAUUUCUUACAUUCAUAGCUGCCCGUGCAGUAGACUGUCGCGUGAUAGUUUUUCUUCUAGAGACAUGUCUCGCAAAUACGUUACGAUACGGACAAGCUAUAGAGAGAAUACGUGUGAAACCAUUACUUUAAAAUUAGCUUUGAUGAGCUGAAAGUGCACGUGAAGAAAAUAUCAUAAAGGUAUGAAGGAUGAGUGUUGUGUUGCGUGAGAGUGUUGUGUUUAAGAAAAACAUUAGUAAGAAAAAUAUAUAUUAUUAUAAAUGGUAAUAAAAAAUUGAUAGAUUGAUUAAACAAUAAAAUCUCGUGUAUCAUGGUGAAAUAAGUUUUAUUGCGUGAUAGCACAGUCUUUAAAAUAUGAAAAAAGGUAUUAUAGAUGAUCGUAGCCAUAUUUUUGCCAUAUCGAUAUAAAUCAUGUCCGAGUAGAAUAGAGUAGCAUAGAGUAUGACAAAGACAUGUUAAUAAGCUAUAACAAAAUUUAGGCAUUAUUUAUUCUAAACAUAUUACAUUUUACAUUCGUAUUCGAAAUACUUAUUUUCAUUCAAAUACAUUUAUUCAUAACAGAGAAUGAUUACCGUAGCAACCCCGUCCAAUGAGAAUGCAAACAUAUUACCAACAUCGAACAAGGCGUUCUUCGAAGAUCUGUGUAGUAUAAAUAAUAUUUUUUUCUGAAUAUGUGUCGACACCAUGUACCAUCGUACAUUAUAACUGUAAAUACAAAUAAUUAAUUCCUAAUAUAUAACGGAUAUUGUAUUCUAUCUAUUAAAAUAAGUGGAUUACACAUUUUUAAUUUGCCACUUACGUUUGUGCAAAUA